GCCCAAAAUGAGAAUGGUUGGAGGUUAUUCCAUUUUCCUCCCUCAACUUCAGUUUGUUACAAUAAAAUCACUUUAAUUUGAGUUUCCAAAAAGUCACUCUAACCAGAUUCAGCUGGUUUUCUGUCUACCAUAAAUUCAAUUUUCACCCCCAGUCCCUCAACUUCAAGGAUUAUUUCAACUUCAUCCCUCAACUUCAAUUUGUAUGACUCAAUUUUGAUUUGAGCAAAUGAUAAUAUUUUAUAAUUUCAAGUUUGUGAGUUUUGUAAGACUAGUUUUU
This 277-nucleotide unclassified non-coding RNA is filed under the name Hevea brasiliensis (rubber tree). The record is from RNAcentral. Lineage: Eukaryota; Viridiplantae; Streptophyta; Magnoliopsida; Malpighiales; Euphorbiaceae.